This 216-nucleotide ribosomal RNA is filed under the name Glomeromycotina sp. Its description in RNAcentral is "partial small subunit ribosomal RNA". The stretch from base 54 to 216 matches the Rfam family "Eukaryotic small subunit ribosomal RNA", at positions 700 to 864 of the family's 1831-position model. The record is from RNAcentral. Lineage: Eukaryota; Fungi; Glomeromycota.
GGGUCAGUAGGUUGGUCGUGCCACCGGUACGUACUGGUCUCACUGAUCCCUCCUUCCUGAAGAACCGUAAUGCCAUUAAUUUGGUGUUGCGGGGAAACAGGACUGUUACUUUGAAAAAAUUAGAGUGUUUAAAGCAAGCUAACGCUUGAAUACAUUAGCAUGGAAUAAUGAAAUAGGACGAACGAUCCUAUUUUGUUGGUUUCUAGGAUUGACGUA